This 492-nucleotide ribosomal RNA is filed under the name uncultured bacterium. Its description in RNAcentral is "partial 16S ribosomal RNA". It matches the Rfam family "Bacterial small subunit ribosomal RNA", at positions 29 to 507 of the family's 1533-position model. The record is from RNAcentral.
AGUGAACGCUGGCGGUAGGCCUAACACAUGCAAGUCGAACGGCAGCACAGUAAGAGCUUGCUCUUACGGGUGGCGAGUGGCGGACGGGUGAGGAAUACAUCGGAAUCUACUUUUUCGUGGGGGAUAACGUAGGGAAACUUACGCUAAUACCGCAUACGACCUACGGGUGAAAGCAGGGGAUCUUCGGACCUUGCGCGAUUGAAUGAGCCGAUGUCGGAUUAGCUAGUUGGCGGGGUAAAGGCCCACCAAGGCGACGAUCCGUAGCUGGUCUGAGAGGAUGAUCAGCCACACUGGAACUGAGACACGGUCCAGACUCCUACGGGAGGCAGCAGUGGGAAAUAUUGGACAAAGGGCGCAAGCCUGAUCCAGCCAUACCGCGUGGGUGAAGAAGGCCUUCGGGUUGUAAAGCCCUUUUGUUGGGAAAGAAAAGCAGCAGGUUAAUACCCCGCUGUUCUGACGGUACCCAAAGAAUAAGCACCGGCUAACUUCGCG